RNAcentral lists this transfer RNA (76 nucleotides) under Acidobacteriota bacterium. Its description in RNAcentral is "Acidobacteria bacterium (rhizosphere metagenome) tRNA-Ile". It matches the Rfam family "tRNA". From Rfam's summary of the family: Transfer RNA (tRNA) molecules are approximately 80 nucleotides in length. Their secondary structure includes four short double-helical elements and three loops (D, anti-codon, and T loops). Lineage: Bacteria; Pseudomonadati; Acidobacteriota. The record is from RNAcentral.
CGGCGCGUAGCUCCUAACUGGCUAGAGCAGUCGGUCGAUAACCGACAGGUUGGAGGUUCGAGUCCUCCCGCGCCGA